Molecule: ribosomal RNA, 415 nt
Filed under: Fresnedaella lucius
Lineage: Eukaryota; Metazoa; Arthropoda; Insecta; Coleoptera; Leiodidae
Description: partial 16S ribosomal RNA
Rfam family: Bacterial large subunit ribosomal RNA (bases 180-338)
Source: RNAcentral
AAGACCCUAUAGAAUUUUAUAUUAUUUUUAUAUUUAAAUUAUNGUAUAUAAAUUUUAAAUUUUUAUUAAGAUUAUUUAGUUGGGGUGAUUAAAAAAUUUAUUUAACUUUUUUUAUUUAUGACAUUAAUUUAUGUGUAAUUGAUCCAAUAUUUUUGAUUAUAAGAUUAAAUUACCUUAGGGAUAACAGCGUAAUUUUUUUAGAGAGUUCUUAUCGAUAAAAGAGAUUGCGACCUCGAUGUUGGAUUAAAGUUAAUUUUUAAUGUAGAAGUUAAAAUAUUAGGUCUGUUCGACCUUUGAAACUUUACAUGAUCUGAGUUUAAAUCGGCGUGAGCCAGGUUGGAUUCUAUCUUUAAAGAAUUUUAGUAUUUUAGUACGAAAGGACCAAAUAUUAUUUAUAUUAAAUUUUAUUGAAUAU